This 253-nucleotide ribosomal RNA is filed under the name uncultured bacterium. Its description in RNAcentral is "partial 16S ribosomal RNA". It matches the Rfam family "Bacterial small subunit ribosomal RNA", at positions 524 to 776 of the family's 1533-position model. The record is from RNAcentral.
UACGUAGGGGGCUAGCGUUGUCCGGAAUCAUUGGGCGUAAAGCGCGCGUAGGCGGCCAGAUAAGUCCGGUGUGAAAGUCACAGGCUCAACCUGUGAAUGCCGCUGGAAACUGUCUGGCUAGAGUCCGGAAGGGGCGAGUGGAAUUCCUGGUGUAGCGGUGAAAUGCGCAGAUAUCAGGAAGAACACCAAUGGCGAAAGCAGCUCUCUGGGACGGUACUGACGCUGAGACGCGAAAGCGUGGGGAGCGAACAGG